GACGAACGCUGGCGGCGUGCUUAACACAUGCAAGUCGAACGAAGUGGCGAACGGGUGAGUAACGCGUUAUCAACCUGUCCUUUAGAGGGGGACAACAGUUGGACACGACUGCUAAUACCGCAUCCUGAAGCAGGGGAUUUCGUCUGAUUAGCUAGUUGGAGGGGUAACGGCCCACAAAGGCGAUGAUCAGUAGCCGGUCUGGGAGGAUGAACGGCCACAUUGGGACUGGGACACGGCCCAGACUCCUACGGGAGGCAGCAGUGGGGAAUCUUCCGCAAUGGACGAAAGUCUGACGGAGCAACGCCGGGUGAGUGAUGACGGCCUUCGGGUUGUAAAGCUCUGUUAAUCGGGACGCGGUACCGGAAUAGAAAGCCACGGCUAACUACGUGCCAGCAGCCGCGGUAAUAC
RNAcentral lists this ribosomal RNA (408 nucleotides) under uncultured bacterium. Its description in RNAcentral is "partial 16S ribosomal RNA". It matches the Rfam family "Bacterial small subunit ribosomal RNA", at positions 28 to 526 of the family's 1533-position model. The record is from RNAcentral.